CCUACGGGAGGCAGCAGUGAGGAAUAUUGGUCAAUGGGCGCGAGCCUGAACCAGCCAAGUAGCGUGAAGGAUGACUGCCCUACGGUUUGUAAACUUCUUUUAUAAAGGAAUAAAGUGAGGCACGUGUGCCUUUUUGUAUGUACUUUAUGAUUAAGGCUAGGCUAACUCAGUGCCAGCAGCCGCGUUAAUCCGGAGGAUCCGAGCGUUAUCCGGAUUAAUUGGGUUUAAAGGAAGCGUAGAUGGUUUGUUAAGUCAGAAGUGAAAGUUUGCGUCUCAACCGUAAAAUUGCAAUUGAUACUGGCAGUCUUGAGUACAGUUGAGGUAGGCGGAAUUCGUGGUGUAGCGGUGAAAUGCGUAGAUAUCACGAAGAACUCCGAUUGCGAAGGCAGCUUACUAAACUGCCACUGACACUGAGGCUCGAAAGUGUGGGUAUCAAACAGGAUUAGAUACCCCUGUAGUC
This 460-nucleotide ribosomal RNA is filed under the name uncultured bacterium. Its description in RNAcentral is "partial 16S ribosomal RNA". It matches the Rfam family "Bacterial small subunit ribosomal RNA", at positions 338 to 795 of the family's 1533-position model. The record is from RNAcentral.